This 305-nucleotide ribosomal RNA is filed under the name uncultured bacterium. RNAcentral's name for it is "bacterial SSU rRNA". It matches the Rfam family "Bacterial small subunit ribosomal RNA", at positions 337 to 640 of the family's 1533-position model. The record is from RNAcentral.
GCCUACGGGGGGCAGCAGUGAGGAAUAUUGGUCAAUGACCGGAAGGCUGAACCAGCCAAGCCGCGUGAAGGACGAAGGUGCCAAGCAUUGUAAACUUCUUUUGUCAAGGGACAAAAUCAGGCUCGAGAGCCUGACCGAGGGUACUUGAAGAAAAAGCAUCGGCUAACUCCGUGCCAGCAGCCGCGGUAAUACGGAGGGUGCGAGCGUUAUCCGGAUUUAUUGGGUUUAAAGGGUGCGUAGGCGGGCUGUUAAGUCAGCGGUAAAAGCCCGGGGCUCAACCCCGGCGCGCCGUUGAAACUGGCUGU